RNAcentral lists this ribosomal RNA (115 nucleotides) under Peniophora sp. RNAcentral describes it as "partial 18S ribosomal RNA". The stretch from base 1 to 55 matches the Rfam family "Eukaryotic small subunit ribosomal RNA", at positions 1777 to 1831 of the family's 1831-position model. The record is from RNAcentral. Lineage: Eukaryota; Fungi; Basidiomycota; Agaricomycetes; Russulales; Peniophoraceae.
UGGAAGUAAAAAUCGUAACAAGGUUUCCGUAGGUGAACCUGCGGAAGGAUCAUUAUUGAAGCUCGGAAUGCAUGUCCGGUGUUGAUGCUGCCCAGCAAUGGGAUGUGCUCGCUCG